AGAGUUUGAUCCUGGCUCAGAUUGAACGCUGGCGGCAGGCCUAACACAUGCAAGUCGAGCGGAUGAGGGGAGCUUGCUCCCUGAUUCAGCGGCGGACGGGGGAGUAAUGCCGAGGAAUCUGCCUGAUAGUGGGGGACAACGUUUCGAAAGGAACGCUAAUACCGCAUACGUCCUACGGGAGAAAGCAGGGGACCUUCGGGCCUUGCGCUAUCAGAUGAGCCUAGGUCGGAUUAGCUAGUUGGUGAGGUAACGGCCCACCAAGGCGACGAUGCAUAGCCGACCUGAGAGGGUGAUCGGCCACACUGGAACUGAGACACGGCCCAGACUCCUACGGGAGGCAGCAGUGGGGAAUAUUGCGCAAUGGGGGAAACCCUGACGCAGCGACGCCGCGUGGAUGAUGACGGCCCUAUGGGUUGUAAACUGCUUUUAUACACCAAGAAAAAUCCCCACGUGUGGGGACCCGACGGUACCUUACCAGAAAGCAUCGGCUAACUCCGUGCCAGCAGCCGCGGUAAUACGGAGGAUGCAAGCGUUAUCCGGAUUCAUUGGGUUUAAAGGGUGCGUAGGCGGCUUUUUAAGUCAGUGGUGAAAUCCUGCCGCUUAACGGUAGAAUUGCCAUUGAUACUGAAAAGCUUGAGUGCAGGAGAGGUAAGUGGAAUUCCUAGUGUAGCGGUGAAAUGCUUAGAUAUUACACAGAACACCAAUUGCGAAGGCAGCUUACUAAACUGAUACUGACGCUGAUGCACGAAAGCGUGGGGAGCGAACAGGAUUAGAUACCCUGGUAGUCCACGCCGUAAACGAUGCUCACUCGCUGUUUGCGAUACACAGCAAGCGGCCAAGCGAAAGCAUUAAGUGAGCCACCUGGGGAGUACGAUCGCAAGGUUGAAACUCAAAGGAAUUGACGGGGGCCCGCACAAGCGGAGGAACAUGUGGUUUAAUUCGAUGAUACGCGAGGAACCUUACCUGGGCUUAAAUGUAGAGCGACAGAUUGUGAAAGCAGUCCUUCUUCGGACGAUCUACAAGGUGCUGCAUGGUUGUCGUCAGCUCGUGCCGUGAGGUGUCGGGUUAAGUCCCAUAACGAGCGCAACCCUUAUCGUUAGUUGCCAGCGGGUCAUGCCGGGGACUCUAGCGAGACUGCCACCGUAAGGUGUGAGGAAGGUGGGGAUGACGUCAAAUCAGCACGGCCCUUAUGUCCAGGGCUACACACGUACUACAAUGGCCGAAACAAAGGGCAGCAACAUCGCGAGGAGAUGCUAAUCUCUAAAACCUAUCUCAGU
RNAcentral lists this ribosomal RNA (1277 nucleotides) under uncultured bacterium. RNAcentral describes it as "bacterial SSU rRNA". It matches the Rfam family "Bacterial small subunit ribosomal RNA", at positions 8 to 1292 of the family's 1533-position model. The record is from RNAcentral.